Molecule: ribosomal RNA, 371 nt
Filed under: uncultured organism
Description: partial 16S ribosomal RNA
Rfam family: Bacterial small subunit ribosomal RNA
Source: RNAcentral
GUAGGUGGCAAGCGUUGUCCGGAAUUAUUGGGCGUAAAGCGCGCGCAGGCGGUUCUUUAAGUCUGAUGUGAAAGCCCACGGCUCAACCGUGGAGGGUCAUUGGGAACUGGAGAACUCGAGUACAGAAGAGGAAAGCGGAAUUCCACGUGUAGCGGUGAAAUGCGUAGAGAUGUGGAGGAACACCAGUGGCGAAGGCGGCUUUCUGGUCUGUAACUGACGCUGAGGCGCGAAAGCGUGGGGGAGCAAACAGGAUUAGAUACCCUGGUAGUCCACGCCGUAAACGAUGAGUGCUAAGUGUUAGGGGGUUUCCGCCCCUUAGUGCUGCAGCUAACGCAUUAAGCACUCCGCCUGGGAGUACGGCCGCAAGGCUG